RNA transcript from Oncorhynchus mykiss (rainbow trout), 2473 nucleotides. RefSeq lists it as uncharacterized. NCBI's taxonomy places the organism in Eukaryota, Metazoa, Chordata, Actinopteri, Salmoniformes, Salmonidae. The record is from RefSeq and is a predicted model, not a curated record.
UUUUCUCAUUACACUAAACGUUGAAUUGAGAAUACAACAUCGUAUCACGCACGUGAUUAUUUCUCCCCUGUUUUCAGGUACUUUAUUGAUGAUAAAAUAGUAAUUUAAAUGUUAUAACUCGCUAACAUGUCAAGAGUGUUUAAGGUGUGUCUUAGUAACGUCUUGAGGAAGUUAGAGUUAAGUUUGAAGAGAGUAAUAUUAGCCCUGCUCGGUUGAAGUGAAGAAUAGCAUUGUACUCAGAGUAGCUGCCAUUUUAUGUCGAUUGUGAAUGAACAUAUACGUUGUUAAUAAGAUAUGUUGCUGUGUUGGUUGUAUAAUGGGUUUUCUGUUGUUUUGUAAUGUGUUACUUUUGUGAAAUGAUUACACUAAACGUUGAAUUGAGAAUACAACACCGUAUCACGCUCGUGAUUAUUUCUCCCCUGUUUUCAGGGGCGUAACAUCAUCAUUUGAAAUUAAACAACAAAAAUGUAAAUGAUCAUUGUUUUACGCUUCGAAAACACCGACUGCGUUGUUGCAUCCCUGCUGCAUAACAUUUUGCGCAGCUAGGCAAUUAUACUGAUGCAGGUACCUUUUGCAAAUAGUCGCAUGCAGUUGGACACAUGGAGGAGAGAAUAAUUUUCGCAGUAUCCUCAAAACCGUGUCUUUUUGACACAACUGCUGACAGCUACAGGGACAUAAACACAAAAAAUGCUGCUUGGAGUGGCCACGAUAGUAGGAUUGCCAGGUCAGUUUAGUAGUGAGCUUGUGCUAGAUGUGGCUAGUUAGCUAGCUAGCUAACCUAGCCAAUGAGGUGUGUGUGAAAGAAAUAGUCAAAUAAAUUAUGCUAGUUACUACCCCUGAUAACUUUACAAAAUAAUCAUGUUUGAAAGAGUGAGAGUGUGUAUGCUAUAUUAAUAGAAAUGGUAGAUACUACUGUACCCCUGAUAAUUUGGUCAGAUAACCGUGUGUGUGUCUGUGUACAGUAGGUGACAUGUCAAUGAUAGCUAUCUAAUAACUAUAGUUAUGCUAGGUAAUGGUUUGGCUUAUCAUGUUCAUGUCUAUGUAGAAGAAGACUGUAGGAGGAAGUGGAGAGGACUCAGGGACAGGUAUCAGAGAGAGAGAAGGGUAGAGAAAGAGAAGAGGUCUGGGUCAGCAGCUUCAGGCCAGCAGCCUUGGCGCUUCUGCCACAUUCUUUCUUUUCUGGAUCCAUUUAUUGUGCCUAGGGCAACGAGUGGCAAUUUUACAGCCAGACCCUCUACUACGUCAUCCACAAGUGUUGUUGCCACCGGUGCAUCAAGACCCUCAACGUCACCUACAAAUGCGACCAUCACCUCCACUGGUGGAGUGAGACCCUCUACAACAUCAUCCACGAGUAUGACCACUACCGGUGCAGCCAUGGAAGAUGAUGAAAUGGAGGAAGCACCUCUGGAUCUAGGACCACCUGAGAUUAUUAUGAACCUCACGGAAGUGACCACCUCGUUGAACAGGAUGCGGCCGUGGAGAGAAACAGAGAGAAACUAAGAGGAACAACGUCACACCAGGCGUCAUCGGAGGUACCAGCCCCCAGAUCCACUCAACUCAUUUCAGCAGAGGCUCCUCCAAGCCGUCGAGAGGGAUGCAGCCCAACCUGAUGCUCACAGGAAGGAGGAUGAAGAGACCCUCUUUGCCAUGAGCCUGGUGCCAACACUGAAGAGGCUGCCUCAGCAAAGAAAAGCAGCAGUCAAGGUUAAAAUGGAUCAACUGCUUUUCGAAGCCGAGUUCAAUGAAAUGGAGUCAAUUUAGCUGACCAGCUCACAGGAAGGACAGGAAGAGGAGAGGAGUUGUCUGGUUGUUGUUUUGACCUCCCUCAUUGUACCUUUCUUUUCACACACGUCAGUUCCGUUUAAAUUCAGUCAAUUCAUAAAGUAAUUUGUUUAUAAAGUCUUAGGAUAGCAUUCAUUAUUAGUGUUACAUAGAUUUCUGAAUUGAAACUCAUACGGAGUUUUCACAGAUGCUCUUGGUCUCUUACGAGACUAUAGGUCAAUAUAUUUCUUUAAUUUAAAACCACUUGAAAACCAGGGUGUUGAAACUUUUUGUGAAGUUAUGUUCCAUCGACUGGUCCGUGACGUCCAGGGGUCAUUUGUUUGUUUAGCUGUGUUAUGGCUACAUAUUAUUCCCUUUUUCUCAGAGACAGAGACACACACACACCUCUUCGUACCUCAGAUCUCCAGUGCCCUGCCCUCUCUCUUUAUGGCCAUGUCUGAAUUUCCUCUACUAUGUCUAGGCUUUAUGAGUAGUCCCUGUAUCGGUCUGCAGUUGUGCCAAAAAUACAUGCUCUUGCUGUUCUCUUACAGAUUACAGGCUACACAUUCAUUAAAAAAAAAUGUUUUUAAUUACAUGCACGCACACACCUCUUUCACUAGUUUUAUUUUUAAAAACAUUUUUACAACACACAUACCUGUCAUGUUCUUUCCUGUACUUGAAUACUUAUUAAAUUAUAAUGUUUUCAUAGUCA